RNAcentral lists this ribosomal RNA (497 nucleotides) under uncultured bacterium. RNAcentral's name for it is "partial 16S ribosomal RNA". It matches the Rfam family "Bacterial small subunit ribosomal RNA", at positions 28 to 507 of the family's 1533-position model. The record is from RNAcentral.
GAUGAACGCUGGCGGCGUGCCUAAUACAUGCAAGUCGAGCGAACGGGCGAGAGGCUUGCUUCCCUGAUGUUAGCGGCGGACGGGUGAGUAACGCGUGGAUAACCUACCUAUAAGACGGGUAUAAGUUCGGGAAACCGUAUCUAAUACCGGACAAUAUUUUGAACCGUAUUGAUCAACAGUGAAGGACGGUCUUGCUGUCACAUAUCGCUGGAUCCCCGCUGCAUUAGCUAGUUGGUAGGCUAACGGCCUACCACGGCAACGAUGCGUAGCCGACCUGAGGGGGUGAUAGGCCACCCUGGAACUGGGACACCGUCCCGACUCCUACGGGAGGGAGCAGUAGGGAAUCUGCCGCAAUGGGCGGAAGCCUGACGGAGCAACGGCGCGUGAGUGACGAAGGUCUUCGGAUCGUAACACUCUGUUAUGAGGGAAGAACAUAUGUGUAAGUAACUGUGCACAUCGUGACGGUACCUAAACAGAAAGCCCCGGCUAACUACGUG